UCUAAUACCGGAUACGAGCCUCCAAGGCAUCUUGGAGGUUGGAAAGCUCCGGCGGUGAAGGAUGAGCCCGCGGCCUAUCAGCUUGUUGGUGAGGUAAUGGCUCACCAAGGCGACGACGGGUAGCCGGCCUGAGAGGGCGACCGGCCACACUGGGACUGAGACACGGCCCAGACUCCUACGGGAGGCAGCAGUGGGGAAUAUUGCACAAUGGGCGAAAGCCUGAUGCAGCGACGCCGCGUGAGGGAUGACGGCCUUCGGGUUGUAAACCUCUUUCAGCAGGGAAGAAGCGAAAGUGACGGUACCUG
Molecule: ribosomal RNA, 305 nt
Filed under: Actinomycetales bacterium TLI264
Lineage: Bacteria; Bacillati; Actinomycetota; Actinomycetes; Actinomycetales
Description: bacterial SSU rRNA
Rfam family: Bacterial small subunit ribosomal RNA
Source: RNAcentral